CUCUGUGACUGGCUUGCUUGAUGGUUAGGGUCUGAUCGCUGCCUGAGACACCAUAUCGGUACUCCUCAGAGUUGAUUCUGCGUGUGAAAAACAUAAAAAGAAAAAAAGUCAACUUCUUCAUGCAAUGUGAUCACAGGAUCUGGUUUGCCACUGAAAGGAAUCUUGAUGCUGACCACUUCACCUCGGAGAGCAUGAACUGCUCCCAUGCCUUCAAGAGUUUUAGGAUGGCAUCAACUGUUCCAAAAACAUUGCUGAGCUGGACUUUGUAUUUCCCAGCAUGAGUCUUACGUUGGACAUUCUUCAUGACAAGUGGGUAACCAGGAUGGAACUGCGGUGUUGCUUGCAGGAGAAGCUUACUACUGGUUUCUACUUCUCCAACCUCAUUGGUGGCUAUGCAGGCACUGUCUCCAGACUGUCUAUAUUCAACCCAGUAUCCAAGAAUUUCUUUACCACCAUCACAUUCAGGUUUCUCCCACUGUAGAGUGACACUAUCUUUGGAUAUUGAAAGAAUCUCAAGUUCUCCUGGUUGGCUUGGUUUAUCUGAAAUAUUUUAAAAUAAUGAAAAGGGAGUCAGCUUUACUGGUGAAAUAAAAGGACCAAACAU
RNAcentral lists this long non-coding RNA (604 nucleotides) under Homo sapiens (human). Its description in RNAcentral is "TTN antisense RNA 1". Lineage: Eukaryota; Metazoa; Chordata; Mammalia; Primates; Hominidae. The record is from RNAcentral.